This 216-nucleotide ribosomal RNA is filed under the name Glomeromycotina sp. RNAcentral's name for it is "partial small subunit ribosomal RNA". The stretch from base 40 to 216 matches the Rfam family "Eukaryotic small subunit ribosomal RNA", at positions 686 to 864 of the family's 1831-position model. Lineage: Eukaryota; Fungi; Glomeromycota. The record is from RNAcentral.
GGGUCAGUAGGUUGGUCGUGCCACCGGUACGUACUGGUCUCACUGAUUCCUCCUUCCUAAAGAACCGUAAUGCCAUUAAUUUGGUGUUGCGGGGAAACAGGACUGUUACUUUGAAAAAAUUAGAGUGUUUAAAGCAAGCUAACGCUUGAAUACAUUAGCAUGGAAUAAUGAAAUAGGGCGAUCGAUCCUAUUUUGUUGGUCUCUAGGAUUGACGUA